CAUUAAGAAGCUUUUACAGCACUAGCCUUUUAAGCUAGAGACGGAGAUACCCAACUCCCUUAAUGACCU
Molecule: transfer RNA, 69 nt
Filed under: Aspidoscelis inornatus (Little striped whiptail)
Lineage: Eukaryota; Metazoa; Chordata; Lepidosauria; Squamata; Teiidae
Description: tRNA-Lys
Rfam family: tRNA
About the family: Transfer RNA (tRNA) molecules are approximately 80 nucleotides in length. Their secondary structure includes four short double-helical elements and three loops (D, anti-codon, and T loops).
Source: RNAcentral